RNAcentral lists this long non-coding RNA (891 nucleotides) under Cairina moschata (Muscovy duck). RNAcentral describes it as "domestica (muscovy Duck (domestic type)) lncRNA (ENSCMMG00000003166.1)". The record is from RNAcentral. Lineage: Eukaryota; Metazoa; Chordata; Aves; Anseriformes; Anatidae.
CUGAGUGCUCCUGUCACAGACCCACAAGUGUGGGUACGGGGCUGUUACAGUGCCAUGAGGAAUGAACUGGAAAAGCUGUCCAACAGGAGGCUGCCUUUGAGAGUUUAUUUCCCUGUGAGGAAAUGGCCUUCCCCAUGCUGCUCCAUGAGGGUGUCCUUCUCUGGCCUUGUCGCCGCAGCUGCGUGCCCACAGGCUCCUGCAGACAACGUGUUUUGCUUGUUGACAUAAAAGUGCUUCUCAAGGACUGGCCAAAACAUGACCUUGAAAUUGUAAUCUUAUUAACAGAAGCUUGUAUUGGUGGUGUUUCAUUUGAUCUACUUACUCGUCUCUACAGACUUGCUUUGACAUUGCCUUUGUCUCAUCUGGACAUUACAGCAUGGCCUACAUAAUGCCUACUAAAUUUAUUUUACCACUGGCUUUAGCAUAAUACCAUCCCAUAGAGCAGGCAUGCUGUGAUCAUCAACGUGACCGUGGAAAUAAGCAGACAUAAUUGGAAAAACCUUGCUGAAAUGGCUAGCUCGUACCCUCUGCAUGUGCGCUCUCACAGGCCUGCGGCUUGGCUGGGCCUCGUGCCCUCAUGGCCACAGGUACGUGCCCUCUUUGCAAGGUCUGCACCCACCGCCUUGUCUGGGGCACCACGGCUUUCCUCAGGUGCUCAGCUGGCUGAGAGAUGUUCCCCGAGUCCAGCUUGGCUCCACGCUGAAGGAUUUUAAAGCUCAGGCUGAAAGUCGAAGGGCUUCUUCAAAUACCAGGGCUGUGACAUGGCAUCAUCCAUCUGAGGAGCUCUUCAGGUUGGGAAGUCAGGAGAAGGAGCAAAAUUUUUCUGAGUUCAUCUUUACAGUGGCAGGAGGAGGAAUGAGCAAGACGAGAAAAGGAAGAAAAUCUUACUGA